GUAAGUAGGCCUCUCCAUCCUGAUAGCGAGGGAGGCCUCAUCGGGUUUGACCCCGGCAUGCUUUGACACCUUUUUCACUGUUGGAAGAUGCUCUGACUUUAAAGUAGAAAGCAGACUUGACUGAAGCUGAUUGACACAGGUCAAGGGGACUUCAAGGAAGAAAGCCAGCCUUAGACUGACAUCAGAGAACCAAACUCCGGUGUCUAAGCUCAAGCUCACUGCAGGUGCACUCACAGUGCCCCCCGAAAUGUCCAAGAGCCUGCCAGCCUCAUUCCCAAUGCCGUGUGAACCCACCUUGUCUUAAGAUUUUUAUUUUUGCCUGCAUUAAGUUUAGACAGCAGAGCAUCUACAUCUCCAUUUAUGCCGUGUGCACGCAGUACCAACAGAGGUCAGAGGAGGGUGUCGGAUCCCCUGGAACUGGAGUCACAGAUUCUUCCUUGCGUGGAUGAAACAGUCCCAACGAACACUUUAAAAAGACAAAUGUUCCCGACAGCACUGGUUGAAUUCAAAACUCGGCAGAUCCAUGUUCUUAUCCUUAGACAAGAGAGGGGCCAUAACAAGAUGGAAUGACGGAACAGACGUGAGAGAUGAUGGUACAGUGACUCGGGUAACCCCAGAAAAGGGACAGCUCUUCUACAGCUCAGUGGGGACAGGGACAAAAAGAAACAAUUUCAUUUCAGUCCACCCAGAGGGUCUGCACUUCUCGGAGCCAGAAGGUGGAGAAGAGUAGGGAUGGAGGAAGUUCGAAGUUUUAGGAGUCUGCUCUUGGGUCCCUAGGCAUGAGGACAAGCUUUUCCUGUACUCAAUGCUCAUCUCUCAGUUGUGCCCACAUUGGUACACAUUACUUGCUUUCAACUGCUGCUGCUGCUGUUUCCUAAUUCAAUAAAGAUAUGGCUGGCUCAGCA
This 905-nucleotide long non-coding RNA is filed under the name Mus musculus (house mouse). Its description in RNAcentral is "predicted gene 29154". The record is from RNAcentral. Lineage: Eukaryota; Metazoa; Chordata; Mammalia; Rodentia; Muridae.